GCCUGGCUGGCUCAGUUGGUAGAGCACAUGACUCUUGAUCUUGGGGUUGUGAGUCCGAGCCCCAUGUUGGGUG
Molecule: non-coding RNA, 73 nt
Organism: Ailuropoda melanoleuca (giant panda)
Lineage: Eukaryota; Metazoa; Chordata; Mammalia; Carnivora; Ursidae
Source: Rfam